RNAcentral lists this ribosomal RNA (315 nucleotides) under Triticum aestivum (bread wheat). RNAcentral describes it as "partial small subunit ribosomal RNA". The record is from RNAcentral. Lineage: Eukaryota; Viridiplantae; Streptophyta; Magnoliopsida; Poales; Poaceae.
AUGUUUCAUGGUGGUGUAUGCUUAGUUGCAAAGGGUUGUGAUCUGCAAGUGCAAGGAAUGUUUCAGCCUUGCUUCUCAUCAUUCUCUGCUCAUCAUGGUUCGGUUUAUCCAGUAAGACUUGCAAAGCUGCUGAGUCACUUCAUGUUUUGUUUAUUUUUAUGCUGCGGUGACCCGUUCAGGAGCUUUCUUGGGGAUUCUGCUGCCGUGAGCUUUGCUGAUUUGUUGAGGCUUUGCAAACCUGAUCGUUUCAAAACCCAAUUGGGGACAUUAAACUUCCCUGCGCACUGGCAUAGGGAAAUCAGCUCUGCGGUUUGA